This 473-nucleotide ribosomal RNA is filed under the name uncultured bacterium. RNAcentral's name for it is "bacterial SSU rRNA". It matches the Rfam family "Bacterial small subunit ribosomal RNA", at positions 328 to 793 of the family's 1533-position model. The record is from RNAcentral.
CGCUUUCACUCCUACGGGAGGCAGCAGUGGGGAAUAUUGCACAAUGGGGGAAACCCUGAUGCAGCCAUGCCGCGUGUGUGAAGAAGGCCUUCGGGUUGUAAAGCACUUUCAGUAGGGAGGAAGGUAGUGUAGUUAACACCUGCACUAUUUGACGUUACCUACAGAAGAAGCACCGGCUAACUCCGUGCCAGCAGCCGCGGUAAUACGGAGGGUGCGAGCGUUAAUCGGAAUUACUGGGCGUAAAGCGCAUGCAGGCGGCCUGUUAAGUCAGAUGUGAAAGCCCGGGGCUUAACCUCGGAAUUGCAUUUGAAACUGGCAGGCUAGAGUCUUGUAGAGGGGGUAGAAUUUCAGGUGUAGCGGUGAAAAUGCGUAGAGAUCUGAAGGAAUACCAGUGGCGAAGGCGGCCCCCUGGACAAAGACUGACGCUCAGAUGCGAAAGCGUGGGGAGCAAACAGGAUUAGAUACCCUGGUAG